GCUCCAAUAGCGUAUAUUAACGUUGUUGCAGUUAAAAGGCUCGUAGUCGAACUUCUGAUCUGAUAAGUUGGUCAUCUGCCAAGCGCAGUUGCAUCCUUCUUUGUCGGUCAUCCUUCUGGACUCUGCCUCUGCCUUUUAUUAGGUGGUCCGUACGAUCCAGAUCUUUUACUGUGAGUAAUCAGAGUGUUUCAAGCAGGUCU
This 200-nucleotide ribosomal RNA is filed under the name uncultured eukaryote. RNAcentral describes it as "partial 18S ribosomal RNA". It matches the Rfam family "Eukaryotic small subunit ribosomal RNA", at positions 588 to 787 of the family's 1831-position model. The record is from RNAcentral.